UGGUGGCCAUAGCGUCGGUGUCCCACCCGAUCCCAUCCCGAACUCGGCCGUGAAACCCGACUGCGCCAAUGGUACUACUGCUCAAGCAGUGGAAGAGUAGGGCGUCGCC
This 109-nucleotide ribosomal RNA is filed under the name Sphingomonas paucimobilis. Lineage: Bacteria; Pseudomonadati; Pseudomonadota; Alphaproteobacteria; Sphingomonadales; Sphingomonadaceae. The record is from RNAcentral. RNAcentral also lists the same sequence under 1 other name.